RNAcentral lists this long non-coding RNA (328 nucleotides) under Carassius auratus (goldfish). RNAcentral's name for it is "lncRNA (ENSCARG00000018198.1)". The record is from RNAcentral. Lineage: Eukaryota; Metazoa; Chordata; Actinopteri; Cypriniformes; Cyprinidae.
AUGAAAAGUUGGAGGAUGUCCCAGGAUGAGAACAUAGAUAUGGUACACCUGCUUGUCAAGAUUCUAACGUUAAUGUCCCACUUCCAGGAACAUGAAGAUGGACUGGUUUCACAUGCAGAUGUUGCAGCAUCUGCAUCUGAUGUUGGGAAGACACUCAAUCUACCUGCCAAUCCUCAUCUGAUUUUGCUGGUCAACAUUUUUGACUGCAGUUGCAAGUGUUUGCUGUGCACUACAUCUUCAACCUGCAGUAUCAAGAGGCGGCUUGUUGCACGUUAGAGUUUUUUCAAAGUUUUUUCAGUUCAUCAUCUGAAACUGUCAAAUGUGGUUU